This is a non-coding RNA of Bos taurus (domestic cattle), 73 nucleotides long. The record is from Rfam. Lineage: Eukaryota; Metazoa; Chordata; Mammalia; Artiodactyla; Bovidae.
UCCCUGGUAGCUCAGCUGGUAAAGAACCUGCCUGCAAUGCAGGAGACCCUGGUUCCUUUCCUGGGUCAGGGAG